UACGGGGGGGGCAAGCGUUGUUCGGAAUUACUGGGCGUAAAGCGUGUGUAGGCGGUCCGCUAAGUCGGGUGUGAAAGCCCUGGGCUCAACCCAGGAAGUGCACUCGAAACUGGCGGGCUAGAGUAUCGGAGAGGUUGGUGGAAUUCUCGGUGUAGAGGUGAAAUUCGUAGAUAUCGAGAGGAACACCGGUGGCGAAGGCGGCCAACUGGACGAAUACUGACGCUGAGACACGAAAGCGUGGGGAGCAAACAGG
Molecule: ribosomal RNA, 253 nt
Filed under: uncultured bacterium
Lineage: Bacteria
Description: partial 16S ribosomal RNA
Rfam family: Bacterial small subunit ribosomal RNA
Source: RNAcentral